AUGCCUAACAAGAGAAAUGCCGUAGGAUCGCCAUCAAGGGCCAUGGGGAAGAAAAGAAGAACGACCAGCAGGACAGGAGGAAAGAAAGUGCAGCCCGAAGAAAUUGCCCAAAAGAAAGACGGAGCUGGCCGGAGAAGAUCUGCCAAGAAAACAAAAGAGGUCGGACAUGUGGUGGCAGAAGUACCUGAGGAAACUACUGAUAUCUCAUCAGGUAAUGAGUCGGAGGAGGAUGCACGGGCAUUCCCCUCUUUAAGGCACGAAAUUGCAAAUAAUUCCAUUGAUUUCACUCCGUCACAAGAAUCUAGCGUUCAUGACACAGUGGGGGAACACGUGUCUUUUAAAAUUAAAGAAAAAAUUUGGGAGGGAAAAUUUAUAGAGCUUCAUUCUCUUUUGAGAACGCAAAAAGAAAUGGAAGAGGUUGACGAGGGCGAUUUGAAAUUAAAAAGGGGGAAAAUUUGCAUUGAAAAAAGAUCGUCGGGGGUUUAUUUGUCAAUAAAUGAAUGGACUUCAGCAUUCAUGAUUUUUAUGAGUGUCUACAUUGAGAAAUACAGCACACGGGCACAGGAAUUGUUAAAAUAUAUGCGCGAUAUAAGAUUAGCGGCAACUAGGUCAGAAAACUGGGCUACCUAUGACGAGCAAUUUAGGCUAAAAAUAGAAAAGAAUCCUAAUUUAUCUUGGGGAAAUAUACACGGUGAAUAUUGGCUAUUACACAUCACAUCUCCCACAGUACAUAACAGUGUGUCAGUGCAAUCACAGGGUUAUAGAACAGAUACACAAAAUCGUGGUAAUUAUAACUCAAAUGCAGCUACACUUUCAAACAAUAGAACACAUCAAAAAUCACAGGUAACUAGUGGAAGUGUAAAUAUGUCAUGUAAAUACUAUAAUAAUGGUAAUGACUGUCCCUACUUCCCUCGUUGUAGGUUUAAACACAUAUGUGAAAUAUGCAGUGGCAAACACAGAAAGGCCCAAUGUAAUAACCGGGCCAAGGAAGAAAUAACAAAAAGUAUUAAUUUUUAUUCAUUGGGAAAUACUCCUAUAAAAGUAUCAGUCUUGGAAAAUUAUUUAGAAUUCUACCCACUUAACAAUGUAGCACAUGAAAUUAUAUCUGGUUUCAAAUACGGUUUUUCAUUAAAAUAUUUUGGCUCUAGGGAACCAAGGGAGAGUUCCAAUUUAAAAAGUGCAUUACAGCUACCCAAAAUUUUUAAAGAAAAAUUAAUGAAGGAAGUUAAACUUGGUCGCAUAGCUGGUCCUUUCAGAUACCCACCUUUUCCCACACUUCAGGUAUCACCAAUGGGGCUAGUGCCAAAAAAGGAUGGGGAUUUCAGACUUAUUCAACAUUUAUCCUAUCCUGAGAAUAAUUCAAUAAACGAUUUUAUUGAUAAAGAUCAUUGUUCAGUGCAGUACAGUUCAGUGGACGAAGCAGCAUGUUUGAUUAAUAGACACAAAACAUUUGCCCGAUUAAGUCAGUGUGACGUAAAAGCGGCUUUUCGUUUGUUGCCAAUUGCCCCGCACGAUUUUGACUUGUUGGGGAUAAAAUUUCAGGGUGAAUAUUAUCUUAAUAAAAUGCUCCCUAUGGGGGCCUCAAUAAGUUGUGCCCUGUGGGAGAAAUUUGCAAAAGCUUUGCAUUGGAUAAUACAGCUAAAAAGCGGAAAUGAUGAUAUCCUCCAUUAUUUAGAUGAUUUUCUUUUUGUCGAGUCGAGCCAAACAUCAAAAGUUGGCAAUACUUUGAAGUUAUUCCAAGAGGUAUGCAACAAAAUAGGUAUUCCUCUUGCUAGUGACAAGACUACUUUGCCGACUACAUUACUUAUGUUUUUGGGUAUAGAAUUUGAUACACAGAAUUUAAUCAUGCGACUUCCAAAUGAAAAACUUGUCAAACUCUCACAAAAAAUCAGAGAUACCUUGGACAGUUCUAAAAUAACUCUUAAAGAUAUGCAAUCCCUUCUUGGGCUCCUGAAUUUUGCUUGUAAGGUAGUUGCUCCAGGCCGCACCUUCUGUCGCAGACUCAUAAAUUCAACAAUCGGGGUAAGAAAAUCGUAUUACAAAAUUCGAGUAAACAAGCAGAUGAAAGCAGAUUUAGAAGUUUGGUUAGACUUUUUAAAACAAUACAAUGGUGUAACUGUAAUAACAGACAAUGUAUGGGUUUCAAAUGAAAAAUUAGAGUUGUUCACUGAUAGUGCAGGGGGUCCAAAGGCGGGUAUGGGAUCUAUUUUGCAGGUCAGUGGGCCCAAGGCAUAUGGCCAAAACAUUGGGUUGAGACUGGAAUCACCAGAGAUAUGACAUUGUUAGAGUUGUUUCCAGUUGUAGCUGCUCUUAUGUCCUGGGAAUCCUAUUUUGUUAACAAAAAAGUUAUUUUUCAUGUUGAUAAUCAGGCGGUUGUUCAAAUCAUUAAUAUGAAAACUAGCAAAUCAAGUAGAGUUAUGACUUUAGUAAGACAGAUGGUUUUAAUGAACUUAAAAAAUAAUACAUUAGUUAAGGCAAUUUAUAUCCCUUCAAAACAAAACCAAAUUGCUGAUUGUCUUUCUCGUUCUCAGUGGGGGAAGUUCAGAAGCCUAGCUCCAGAAGCAGACCAGUGGCCAACCAAAAUUCCAACACAGAUCUGGAACAUUUAAGUCAGGUGGCUGAUUAUAUUGUCAAUCAAGGUGUGUCCAAAAAUACACAAAAAUCAUACAAUUUGGCUCUGUCAAAACUUUGUACUUUUAGAUCAUCUUAUAAAUUGAAACAGGAUUGGCCGGUGCCAGUCAAUGAUUUGUUAAAUUUUAUAGCUUUUUUGUCAGUACAGGGUCUUUCGGGGGGAACCAUAUCAUCUUAUAUAUCAGGAGUUUCAUACCAUCAUAAAAUUCAAGGGAUACAGGAUACUACAAAAUUCUUUAUAAUUGGAAAGGCAUUAGAAGGAAUAAAAAGAAUUCAAGGGGGAAAACGUAAUGACAUUAGAGCACCAAUUACAGUGCAAUUGUUAUCAGAUAUGAUUAGUUGUUUAGAUAAAGUAUGUAAGAAUAAAUAUGAAGCUGCUUUAUUUUCAGCAGUUUUUUCUGUUGCCUUCUUUGGUUUGCUAAGAGUAGGGGAAAUCACUACUUCAAAAUCCAAGUCUGUUAUAAAUGGCUCCAACUUAACAAUUUCUGAUAUUUUAGUUAGGAGAAAAGUCCUGGAGCUAAGAGUAAGGUGGUCAAAAACUGACCAAAAGGGAAAGUCUGUUACUUUGUUGAUAGCUGAGAACGGAAAAAAAACUACUGUCCGGUACGACUCAUUAACGAAUAUUUAA
This 3259-nucleotide small RNA is filed under the name Mytilus galloprovincialis (Mediterranean mussel). Lineage: Eukaryota; Metazoa; Mollusca; Bivalvia; Mytilida; Mytilidae. The record is from RNAcentral.